UGCCACAGACAUAUCAUCCUGCAGCCCAAGACCGGUUACUUACUGAAGCUAAGCAGGGCUAAGCCUGGCCACUACCUGGAUGGGAGACCAAAUGGGAAAACUAGGUUGCUGUUGGUAG
This is a ribosomal RNA of Danio rerio (zebrafish), 118 nucleotides long. The record is from Ensembl. Lineage: Eukaryota; Metazoa; Chordata; Actinopteri; Cypriniformes; Danionidae.